GACGAACGCUGGCGGCGUGCUUAACACAUGCAAGUCGAACGGAAAGGCCUCUUUCGGGGGGUACUCGAGUGGCGAACGGGUGAGUAACACGUGAGUAACCUGCCCUUGACUUUGGGAUAACUUCAGGAAACUGGGACUAAUACCGGAUAGGAGCUCCUGCUGCAUGGUGGGGGUUGGAAAGUUUCGGCGGUUGGGGAUGGACUCGCGGCUUAUCAGCUUGUUGGUGGGGUAGUGGCUUACCAAGGCUUUGACGGGUAGCCGGCCUGAGAGGGUGACCGGCCACAUUGGGACUGAGAGACGGCCCAGACUCCUACGGGAGGCAGCAGUGGGGAAUAUUGCACAAUGGGUGGAAGCCUGAUGCAGCAACGCCGUGUGCGGGAUGACGGCCUUCGGGUUGUAAACCGCUUUCGCUCAUGACGAAGCUUUGUGUGACGGUAGUGGGUAAAGAAGCACCGGCUAACUACGUG
Molecule: ribosomal RNA, 467 nt
Filed under: uncultured bacterium
Lineage: Bacteria
Description: partial 16S ribosomal RNA
Rfam family: Bacterial small subunit ribosomal RNA
Source: RNAcentral